AGGUUUUCCAGCCUGAAGAAAUUGAUGAUGCAGACCUGUUUGCUUGUCUUCCUAAGGAUUAUUCACCCCUUUCCGUGGGAGGGGCAGCGUCACUGAGAAAGUUACGGGUUGCAAGCUUGAGUGUCUAAGAACCGCCUGGCGAGCUUCUUAAGCAGAUCGCCAGGUUCCAUCUUCGCAGACUCUGGUUCAGCAGGUAGCAGGUUAGCCCGAGAAUCUGCAUUUCUAACAAGCUCCUAGGCGUGCCCACGCUGUCAGUAUUGGCAGCCCAACCUUUUUUGGGGGGUGGGGGGGGGAGUUUUUCUAUGUUGCCGGUCUCGAACUCCUAGCCUUAAGCGAUCUUCCCUACUCGGCCUCCCAAAAUGCCAGGAUCGCAAGCGUAAGCCACUGUGCCAGACCACCACCCUUUUUCUUCUUUUUUGUAAGUGGACUAAUUAUAGUUGUAUAUAAGCAGCUCCACUUUUGAUGACCACUGCUCUAUUUUGUCGGCUCCUGGGGACCUCCUUUCCAUGAAGUGGAGAAGGAAGGGGAUAGAGGAGUCCCUCAUCACAGGGUCCUUUUGCGCACUGCUAUCCCUGGAAUGAGACCCUGGGAAGGGCCCCGGAUCACUCAGGCUGUCACUGCAAGGAAAAAGUUGAGGAAGCAGCAGUGCCCCUGGAAAGCCUGGAAGUGUCCCUGCUGCUUGGAUCAAGGAACAAUUCGUCCUUGCAAGGAAGAAGCAUCCCUUGUUGAUGAUAAGGACAGAUUUCCUCAGCUGCCCCAGAAAGCCAGCCUCUGCCUAAAACACCGUAGGUCAGGAGGGAAAGCUGGCGGGGAACCAGCCAGCUGCACCACAGACAGUCUGGUGGUAUACCUGGGAAGAAAGCUACCUGCAAGGACCUACUCUGUUCCUACUACGCUCUGGGUGUCCCCCAAGUCACUGCCUAUUUUGCUUGGUUGCAUAAACUAUUUAUGUAAAUGUACUUCCAAUUUUAGUGCUUACAGCCACUAGCAAAAAGCAAAAGCUUUGGAGUCAGUGGUCCUGGUUAACUUACCCCUCCCUCCACAAGGUAGUAACAGUGUAGGGAACUGUGGAAAAGGCUGUUUGCCUUCCCUGAGUCUAAUUCUUCAUGGAGUAAAUGGAGUCUGUUUCUUCAGUACUACACCAAGUUGUUCAUGAGGAUCGAGUUUUCUAAUAUUCAUGAAAAUACUUUGUAAACCCUGGCACACCAUGCUCAUGUUAAUCACCUUCUUACUGGAAGAAAAUGCUUUAGAUAAUUUAGGCUUUUUUUUUUUACCCAUAGAAUUCCCUUCCUUCCUUCUGCUUUUUUUUUUCUUUUCUUUAUUUUUUCAGAGAUGAUGUUUCAGUAUGUUGCCCAGGCUGGUCUCGAACUCCUGGCCUCAAGCGAUCCUCCUGCCUCAGCCUCCCAAGUAGCUGGAACUACAGGCAUGCCUCACCAUACUUUGCCCCUUCUACUUUUGUAGAGCCAAGCCUGACCUUCCUGGACUGUUGUUUUCAAGCAUAAUAUCUCUGGUACAACAUUGAUACAAUCCACAUGAGUUCUUUAAGUAAGUGGCUAGUUACUUGGGGAUUCAAAGGAUCAUCUUGUCUCAGACUUUGGGUUCCUAUUGUCAAUACUUAAAUUCUAUGAUAGGAUGCCCCAGGAAAGAAGGAAUACAAGGCCGAGCUGCGUGGUGACUUUCAGGGGCCCUAUUUUUGCCUUAGUAGGCCUUUCUCUCCAUAAAACAGUUAAUAAAAAUUUCAUUUUAUAGUCACAUUGCUAUGAAGAUGAUUAUAUUAAAAUGAUAUCAUAAAACA
Long non-coding RNA from Homo sapiens (human), 1795 nucleotides. RefSeq annotates it as MIS18A antisense RNA 1. NCBI's taxonomy places the organism in Eukaryota, Metazoa, Chordata, Mammalia, Primates, Hominidae. The transcript has a single exon. The record is from RefSeq and is marked validated.